GUGCCAGCAGCCGCGGUAAUACGGAGGGAGCGAACGUUGUUCGGAUUCACUGGGCGUAAAGGGCGUGUAGGCGGCUUGGUAAGUCAGGGGUGAAAUCCCGCGGCUCAACCGCGGAGUUGCCUUUGAAACUGCCGAGCUUGAGGCCGUGAGAGGAGACUGGAAUUCCCAGUGUAGCGGUGAAAUGCAUAGAUAUUGGGAAGAACACCAGUGGCGAAGGCGAGUCUCUGGCACGGAUCUGACGCUGAGGCGCGAAAGCUAGGGGAGCAAACGGGAUUAGAAACCCGCGUAGUCC
This 292-nucleotide ribosomal RNA is filed under the name uncultured bacterium. RNAcentral's name for it is "partial 16S ribosomal RNA". It matches the Rfam family "Bacterial small subunit ribosomal RNA", at positions 505 to 796 of the family's 1533-position model. The record is from RNAcentral.